GCGUGUAUUGCUUAUAAAAGAAAAUGUAGUAUACUAGUAUUGAUUUUAGUUUCAUUAGUACUAAGACCGAGUUUAUCGUGCCUAAGGAAAAUAUCUCAAAUCAACAUACUCUGCCGCAGACCACCAUCACAAACCACUGUCUCCACUCACCAACACUCUUCUUCUUCCCUUCGUUCGUUACUCACAUCGCCUCAAAGCUCUGCCAUCUUCACCAUCGCUGACGAUGAAUACUUCAUCAUACCUGACGACUGCAACACGACCUUCAAGGUUGCUCCGCCACGAGCCCUGACUGUGGUCCCUCGCAAAGUGGCGCACUCACUCUCUUGCGUCGGCGAGGUCAAGACCGCGCUCCGCUAAGUACCAGAACGGGAUACUCUCCAAUUCCGUCAUUGUAAACAUGGAUGACAAGUCACUCUGACAGAAAGGAUAAUUUUGGAAAAAUAAGAAGAAAAAAAUUGAGUCAUUGAUUUAAAAUCAACUAAAUCUAACGGUUGUAAAAUAAUUAUAAAUAACUUUGGUACAUGCGAAAGUAGAUUUACUUUCUCUCUUUAGACUCCAUCUAGUACUACUACUAUUUAACAACAGUAGCCUUGUCCUUUCAUUCUA
Long non-coding RNA from Glycine soja, 606 nucleotides. RefSeq lists it as uncharacterized. Lineage: Eukaryota; Viridiplantae; Streptophyta; Magnoliopsida; Fabales; Fabaceae. The transcript is spliced from 2 exons. The record is from RefSeq and is a predicted model, not a curated record.